GACGAACGCUGGCGGCGUGCUUAACACAUGCAGGUCGAACGGAAAGGCCCCUUCGGGGGUACUCGAGUGGCGAACAGGUGAGUAACACGUGAGUAACCUGCCCUUGACUUCGGGAUAACUUCAGGAAACUGGGGCUAAUACCGGAUAGGAAUCCUUGCUGCAUGGUGGGGGUUGGAAAGCUUCGGCGGUUUUGGAUGGACUCGCGGCUUAUCAGCUUGUUGGUGGGGUAGUGGCUUACCAAGGCUUUGACGGGUAGCCGGCCUGAGAGGGCGACCGGCCACAUUGGGACUGAGAUACGGCCCAGACUCCUACGGGAGGCAGCAGUGGGGAAUAUUGCACAAUGGGCGGAAGCCUGAUGCAGCAACGCCGCGUGCGGGAUGACGGCCUUCGGGUUGUAAACCGCUUUCAGCAGGGGCGAAGCUUGUGGUGACGGUACCUGCAGAAGAAGCACCGGCUAACUACGU
RNAcentral lists this ribosomal RNA (464 nucleotides) under uncultured bacterium. RNAcentral's name for it is "partial 16S ribosomal RNA". It matches the Rfam family "Bacterial small subunit ribosomal RNA", at positions 28 to 506 of the family's 1533-position model. The record is from RNAcentral.